GGUAAGAUGGCCGAGUUGGUCCAAGGCGCCAGGUUAAGGUCCUGGUCUCGAAAGGGGCGUGGGUUCGAAUCCCACUCUUAUCA
This 83-nucleotide transfer RNA is filed under the name Penicillium chrysogenum. RNAcentral describes it as "tRNA-Leu (AAG) (tRNA-Leu-AAG-1 1 to 6)". It matches the Rfam family "tRNA". Rfam says of the family: Transfer RNA (tRNA) molecules are approximately 80 nucleotides in length. Lineage: Eukaryota; Fungi; Ascomycota; Eurotiomycetes; Eurotiales; Aspergillaceae. RNAcentral also lists the same sequence under 4 other names. The record is from RNAcentral.